Molecule: RNA transcript, 8415 nt
Organism: Anthonomus grandis grandis
Lineage: Eukaryota; Metazoa; Arthropoda; Insecta; Coleoptera; Curculionidae
Gene name: proline, histidine and glycine-rich protein 1-like
Exons: 3
Source: RefSeq, a predicted model, not a curated record
UUUUUUCAGAAACGGUCCAUUUCAUUUAUAUUGAAUUUAUCUAUUACUUUACGGAUGCACUGUAUAAAUAGUUUGCCUUUACGAUUUUAGAUACUCUAAUUUAUGUUUUAAAGCAUGACAAUUACAAAGCAUUACUGUUACAUGGUGCGACGGUAUAAAAGUGAAAACGGGAUAUUAUUUGUUUGGAUGAUUUAUUUUUUCAGAUCCAGUGAUGGUAUUUCAAGUUUGGAAACAUGAGUUUAAGACGCCAUAAAUAUUCAUUCCAAAACAAAGGCGGGAUAAACAUUCUUUACAACAUACUUAUAAAUAAACUUUUAGUGUAUUAUUCCAUCCAGUGUUGACAGAGCGUCCACCAGCCAGGAGUAUUGCUUAAAAUCGUUUGUAUCCGAAUAGAUCCUCCACACCAUCACGGACCUCCGGGUCCUCCACAUCAUCACGGACCACCACAUCAUCAUGAACCACCACAUCACGGACCUCCACAUCACCACGGACCUCCACAUCACCAUGGACCUCCACCGCCACCCCAUGGCUGGCCUUCAUGUGGACAUCGCUCACAUUUCCCUGGUUGUAAUCACUGUCACGGUUGGAGGUGGUAGUGAUGAGUUUUAAAAAUUUUUACUGUACUUUUUUUAUUGUUAGUCUCAAAUAUCAGGAUAUAUCUUUAAUAUAAAAAUGCAAAGAUCGUUAAGUUAUGAUAAACAGUUUUGUUGUAGUGUCUUUAGAGGGCUUAGCGAAUAGUAGACUAUCUGUCCAUUAUAAUUUUUAUCACGAUGUUCAAAAAUCUGAGAAGAUUGUUCAAGACAAUGUUGGCAAGCCUACAAAUGAUGUUUUCAUGUAAAUGUUAUUUUCUAUUAAUAAAAAACUUGAAAAGAUUUAAAUAUUUGUUGAGGGUGUCAGAACGUUAGCUUCUAAAUUUGCAAAAGCUAAUAAUAAAAACAUAUCAGAUACUUGAAAAGAUGCUGAAAUCGCCGGCAAAGAAUGAAUGAGAGAACUUGUAAAAUGACGUGAAAAACAACUUUCAAUUCGAAAACCAGAGGCUAGUAGUUUAAGCCGAAUGACAAGUUUAAACAAACCUAACGUUGGACUUUUUUACGACAAUAUUAAACAGGCGCAUAGAAAAUAUGGUCCAAUUUCCCCAGAUAAAAUUUGGAACCUGGAUGAAACAGAGCUGAGCAUAGUUCAAGAACAAGGAGCAUAAUUGCUUCGAAAGGUGUAAAGCAGAUAGGCAGUGCUACUUCAACUGAAAGAGGGACUCUCGUAACUCUUCUUGGUGCAGUGAUUGGAAUCGGUAAUUCGUUGCCUCCUAUGUUGAUCUUUCCACGAGUCCAUUUUAAAGAAAGAAUGCUUUUUGGAGGACCAGUAGGAUGCAUCGGCACAGCAAACCCAUCAGGUUGUUCAAAUGAAAAAUCGUUUAUGAAAUGUUUGAUAUUUCAUGAAUUCUAUAAAAAGCUCUACGGAUGAUUGCAUCCUGUUAAUUCUAGAGCUUUAAAAAACUAUUACAACCAAGCCGUUCGAACCUGGCUUCUCAACAACAAAGGAAAAAAUACAUACAACGUUGCAGUGGCCUUGGAAACAGCAUAUUCUCAUGCCUUUAGUCCAGGUAAUAUCUUGUCCAGAUUUUGAAAAUUAGGAAUAUUCCCGUUAAAUGAAGACAUCUUUACUGACGAUUUCCUUUGUUCCACGUGACCGAUAAAAUAAGUCAAAUAUAAUUGUAAUUAAUUGGUUAAUUGAUUAAUUAAUUCAGGCAAUUAGGAUAUAAAUUUAAUUAAAAUAUUUGCAAUUUUAAAGAAUCUAUGGCUCAACUGCCUAGAAUUGUAAAAUAACAUUAAUUUUAUAGUAAUUAAUUAGUUAAUUAGUCCAGGCAGUUGAAAUAUAAUUUUAAUUAAAGUAACUACAAUUUUACAGAAUCUAUGACUUAACUGCCUAGAAUUGUAAAAUUUUUCAUUAACUAAUUAGUCCAAGCAAUUGGACCACAAUUAUUAUUUUUCAAUUCCAGGCAGUUGAGUCUUAAUUAAAAUUUAAAGCUCUUUAAUUAAAAUUACGAAUUUGCAGCCUGGUCAGAGAUAUCAAUAUGCGAUUUUGAGAACUUUUUAAGUUUUUAUGCCUUUCACAACUAGUUAAAAUUAGGCUAUUAUACAUACAUAUGUUAUAUUACGAUUCAAUUUAAAAUUUUCAAAAAAAGACGCAAAAGUUUUAAGACAGCGCCCAGUAGCGUCUACGGUCAAAUGCAAUUCUUAAUUUUUAUAAAGUAUGAUAUAUACCAAUAAGCAUUCCUUUAAACGAGAAAAACUAAUGAGUUCGAUUACCCAAUCAGUUUAAUAAAGUUACAUCAAUAUUUGCGAAAUAAUCAAACCAGAUAUAUUAGGAGUAAAGUGUUUAUUAAUAUCUUAGCAGAGCGCUUUUGGCUUUCAGCAUAUGAGCAUUUUAAGCAAGACUACAAAUAUCACACAACUAAAUGUAGAUGAAUGUACAAUAUUUGAAAAAAGGGAAGACGUUAGUACUCUCCCAUGUUGAGGUUUACAUUUAAAUUAACUGACAAUUAGCACUGUUGAUGGCUCAUAUGCGAAAAGCGCUCUGCUAAGAUAUUAAAAAACACUUUGCUUCUAAUAUAUCUAGUUUGAUUUUUUCGUACUAUCCUGUGAGUAACAUUUAAUUAAAAACAGAUCUAACCUUCCUUCACCAUUUAAUUUUUCUGGAUAGGUUUCUAGGAAGGCCUAAAGAAAAAAAUUGAAAUUUGUUAAGGAUUUUGGUGCCAUAAUGUAGAAUUUCUUUUGCCUAAAUUUGUGAAAAUCCCAUUCUAAGAAAUACUAAUAAUUUUCACAAAUUUCUCAUGGCGCUUUAUUAUUUUUUUAUUAGGCCUUAUGACUAAUAUCCGAAACACAGCUGAGAAAAUAUAUUCUUAGUGGAACACCCGGACAUAUUCUAUCAAGUCACUUUAAAAUGUAAUUAAAUAGAAACUACAAUUAUUUGACUAGCAUAGACAAUAAACUUUAAUAAAUUAGUCUUUUAUAAUGACCACCCACUAGCCUUUGACAAAGCUGUGCGUUCAAACAACUCGUGUCGUACUUGGGUACGAGUUUUACAAUCUACAAUAUGUAAAUGGUUUAUUCGUACAAUUCUAUUAAUUUGUUUAGCAGCUUGUCUUAUAUAGCUGAUGGUAUAUCGUAUACCUUAUUUUUUUAUAAAUCUAAUGAGGUAAGGCAUAGUGCUCUCACACAUUUAGAUAAUACGAGUAGUAAUAAUAAUAAUAACCCCCGUGGGAGACCGAGAUCAAAGAAUAGUACUCCGUUAUGCUCUGCUUGUCGUAAAAGGCGACUAAAGGGGAAACCUGGGCAACCAAUGUUAAAUGGUAGCAGCACGAACUUAAUAAAUAUACUGCUAAUACAUAUGGCCACAAUACCCAAAAAUGACCACUGCCUGGUGGCCACCAUGUUUAUAGUGGUUGUGUCCUUUUGAUGUUGGUCACUCUGAACAUUUUUAGUAUUACCAACAAAAAAUAUAUUAAAUAACGGUAAUAAAGUUAACGACGCUGACGUUUGGCGUGUGAGUAUAGCGGAUUGCCUAGUUUUUGGUCGAUUUGUAAACGACGCUUGGGUAUAUCGUCUGGAACAGGCCAUGUAUCUUCCUCCUUAUUUAAUACGUAAAUAAUGUAUCAUCAUCUUUAUUUGAAGGUUUUUGGUUCUGUUUCUCAAAACCGAAUUAUUGUCAAUUGUCUGUGUUGUUUAUGAUAAAACAAUAUAUUUUUACUAUAUAAACCCUUGCUAAUUACAAACCUUCAUAAAAUCAUCUAUAUUUUGAUUUUUAUAGAUGGUUGUACCUAUUAAUGUGGAAACAUGAAAGGAAAGUAAGACUCGUCAUAGUAAAAAUAGAAAGAAAAUAAAAGUGUUUUUAACUGAAUUUGUUAAAUAAAUACAAGCAAAAGUUUAAAUGAAGAUCAUCAUUUUCAUGGUAUUAGGAUUUAUAAGAUUUAAAUUUAAGUUUAGAUUUAUCAGAUUCAAAAUUAUCAGAAUAAUAAAAUAAAUAUUUUACAGUACAUGCAUCUAAUCCAAGUUGAUUGAAACUUUGUCUCAUUUUAGGAGAGAAUUACUUUCUUUCAUAAAUUUUAACGAAAAUCUCAAAGAAGUACAAGAAAAUCACAGAUUUAAUGCAACAAUCUCAAAUUCUUACCUAUGUGUAACUUUCUAUUUUGAAUUUUUGUAAACAUAACCUCUCAAAAACUUUAAUUGUUUUGUUUCCCUAUAGAUGGCACAACUAAAAUUUGUCAGAGUGACCAACAUCGAAAGGACACAAUCACGCAAAAUGGCGGCCCCCUAGUAGUGCUCAUUUACUUUUCAUUGAAUUGGCAGUCCAGGUAUAUUUAUGAAGUUCGUGGGUAGCAGAUACCCAUAUAAAUGGAGAAUAACCGAAGCCUCAGAGAAAGGUCGCCAGGGGAUCGCCAGGGCAUGUCUGGAGCCGGCGCUGGACAUAACAGCAUGCGGACUGUUGGUGGCACGGUGCUGAGGAGGCUCAGACGGGCUUCUGUCAUACAAGAAACUACAGCUCCAUCGCAACUCCAAUUUGCACAUGGUCUACAAACAUCAACCAGGGCCCAACCUGUUAAAAGUGUUGCACAGGAAACUUAUCCAGUGCUCACUCAAACAGGGUUACCGAGACAGCGCUUAAAAUAUACAUUUGCCAUGAAUUUAUCUAUAAUGUGCAUUUUCAGAUGAUUGGCUACAGAAAACAGCUACAUGCCGAAUUCUGCAGAAAAUAUCCAAAUGUGCACGUGACUGAGAGUCCCUGACCAAUACUGCGUCAUUCUUAGAAACAACUUGAUCCCAGAAACUCGAAUUAACUCUAUUAAAAGGGAAAUUGCAGCACAAAUAAAUUAUCAAAAGGCCUUAAAUGAAGGAAGGGACAAUUUGCAGGACAAUGACGACGAAGAGAGAUCAGAAGUGAAGAAGAAAACUUACACUCACCAGACCAAGCAUCAUUACCAGAAGUGAUAAUAAAUUAAGAGGCCUAAAACGAAGACCAGAAUAAUGAACAUAAUGAUAAAGUACAUUUUUAGCUUAGAACAAAGUUUAGAAGGGUAAUGACAGAGUAUGAAAGCACAAACCCCUCAACAAAACCAGCUUUUCCUAGAGUUAACUCUUUCCGCAAAUUGGCAAUUUUUCUUAAUGCUGCUUACAGUUACGAUACUUGAACAGCUUCAAAGCUGCUAAAGUGUUACACAUAAUGAAAGACCGACACCGCCUUAGGAAAGCAGACUAUAAACAAAGAUUAAAGAUAUUAGGAAAGACAUUGGCCGGCUAAAGGAAUAUAUCGGAGAUAUCAGAACCAGAAAAGUAUAAGAAAGAGUAGAGGAAACAAUGCGUCAGACCCAACAAUAUACGCAGCAGGACCCAGAAAACUGUACUCCGGAACAAUGCCUAGACACCCUUAAACAAAAGUUAUCUAUUUUUUCAGGUCGCUUAAGAAAGUAUAAAUCCAGUAAUAAAAUAAAACAAGAUAAUUUCCUUUUUUGAAUGCUCAGAGAAGCAAUUUUAUCAAAAGCUUAACGACAAAUUUCUCACUAAAGAAAACAUGUAGGGGUUCUGGGGACUCAACUAACAACACCUAGUGAAUGCAACCUCGACACUGAAUGCUUGACUGAAGAACGAGCAAAGUGUCAAAAAUGGUAGUUUUUCCAUUUUCAGUUGAGGAAGAGACUAACGUCAGAAAAAAGCUACAUAACGAGAAAGCUGCAGGCCCAGAUCAUGCCCAAAAUUACUGGAUAAAGAAAUUAUGAUCAACACAUCAACAACUGACCGACAGGACUGAAGGUAACAUUUACCUCUUGUUCAAGGACUGCCAAAACACUCAAGAUUCGGCUAAAUAUUAAUCAAACAGAACGUAUUUACAGACAUUAGUGACCAAAAUAGCAUCAUAGCGGCUCAACAGACAGGAUGUACCACAGGUGCCAUGGGGUGUAAAGAACAAGUGUUAUUAUUAUUAUAUUAUUAUUGACUCCAUAGUUUGCAAUCGGGCAUUUAAGAAACAAGAGAAACCUUUUUGUAGCAUACAUUGACUACCGAAAAGCUUUUGAUGCAGUUCCACAUAAAGGAGUUACUAAUGUACUUAAAUUGUACAAAUAACUACAUAAUUUCCUUUUUAGAAUUUACUAUGGCAUCUUGCCGAACAUCAAUAAAACUUCAGGUGCCUAACGGUAACUGCAUUGGAACUAAUAUGAUUUCUAUUCGUAACGGUAUAUUCAAGGGAAAGUCUAUCUUAUUGUGGUCAAAGUAAGCUGAUUUAAAGCAACUUAUCUUGGUCCAAAGUUGCUUCUUUUUUUAGUUAUAGGGUGUUAAAUUUAGAAAAUCAAGAUCAUAUUUAUUUCAUAUUUUUGAACAUUUUGCGAUAUACCAAUUUGAAAAUUGGUACCUGAGAAACUCGAAAAUGGGCCUCUUUUUACUGUCUUUCUAGAUUUGUAUAUUAGUAUAUGAGACAUUGAGAAACAUUAAGAGCGACAAAAAAAAACGAAAAAUAAAAAAUGCAAAAGUCAACAAACCAAAACCUACCUCUAUAUAAAACAACUUAAUCUUAAAAACAAUAAGAAAAAAAUAGAAAGAAACCCUACGAGUUUAUCCUUACAUUUAAUUGAUUGCAGGAAUCUCGUUGUAGAUAAUUACAGCAUUUUACGAAAAUCUAAAUCUGAAAUAUGUUAAAUAAUACCGAGGAAUGCCUAUCCUUGUCUUAGCCUAUCAAAAAAUCUGUUGACAUUAUGUACUUCAUCUCUACGUCGCAAUUUGUUAAACGAAUAGGAAGAUGAGUAUACAGGUUGGGAAAUUAAAGAUCACGCACUAUCUAAAAUGGCGAGAACAUUUUUGGGGCUAUUUAUAGAUUUCUCUCGAGCUUUCGAUUAUGUCGAUCAUAAGAUUCUAGUGCAAAAAGUAAUAUCUUACGGACACGAUACAAUAUGAUACGAUACAAUACGAUUUCAAUUCUUGAUCAGAAGGGAGAUAAGGUGGAAGUGAGAUAAUGCAAAUUUCCCUCCUUGAAAAACAGAAUUUCCCUCCUGCAUAUCUAAAUUAACGUGUGUUUUUAUAGGAGUGAUUCAUUUUGAAUAAACUCCAUAGCUAUACUCCAUAUUUUAACUUAUUAAGUAUUUUUCUCAUUUAUUCAGAAACAGUAAAAAAAGUGCUAAUAUUAAAAAGGUAACUUUUAAAAUAAGGUUACAAUUUUCAUUCGCAUCUAUAGUUAAAGGGGUGAACUUUAUGCGUGUUUGAAUUUUUGAAGUAAAACUUGGGUUGGGCAGGAAACUGGCGAAUGCGUUACGAAAAGUGUGGUCAGGUGAGGCGAACGAGAAGGAGAUAUGAGUUAGUGGAGAUAGAAAGAGUAUAUACAAACAUAUGAUAUAUAUAUACUUAUAAAUAGAGAUAAAUAAGUUUUACUUCAGUCGUGUGGUCUCAAGCACUAAUUUUUAUUUUUACAUUUUUUAUAAGAACAAGAUUAUUAGGAGUGAUAUGUCAUUAAAUCGACACUUGUAACGAUACUGUAAAAUUGUAAGUAUUACAUUCUCUAUUUUUAAACAUCGUUGCAAAAUACACUCCUAAAUUUACCUUCCGAGAAAAUCGGGAUAAACGAGUUGUCAUAUUUUUCAUUGUUUUUUAUUGACGCAGUAAUAAACGAAAGAUAAGAUUAAAAAGUUAAUUUAAUAUAUAAAUCCGAAAUACAAAAUUUAAUUCUAGAACUUGUUAAUCUGUAAGUUGUUUUGUGUCUUGAAUUAAUUGUUUUAUAAUAAUGCCACCACCACCACCAUUUGGUCCUCCACACCACCAUGGACCUCCAGGUCCUCCUGGUCCUCCACAUCAUCACGGACCUCCACAUCAUCAUGGACCACCACAUCACGGACCACCACAUCACCAUGGACCACCACAUCACCAUGGACCACCACCGCCACCCUACGGCUGGCCUUCAUGUGGACAUCGUUCGAGAUUCUUUGGUUGCAAUCACUGCCAGGGAUGGAGGUGGUAGUGAUGAGCUUUAAUAUUUUUUAGUGUUAUUAGUUUUUGCUAAUUUAAUAAUCUACUGGAUUUAUACAUGAUGAAAUGUUUUAACUUUUUAUUUUUAUAUUAUAAUAUAAUGUUUCAGCUUUAGAAAGAGGUGCUACAGAAUAUUAUAAUUAAAAUAGUCUAGAACUAUCUCGAUACACACCUUUGGUAGAUUACCCUAUAACAAUAUAUCGUAAUGUUGUUAUAGCGGUGUUGAUACAUCGAUAUGUAUAGACAUUUUUAAUAUCAUGAGAAAGUCCUCAAUAAUUUCAGAAGUUAAAAUUUCCUAUUGCUUGGUAUGCAAUUUUUAAGAAGAAUGAUUAAAUACUGAUUUAAAAACUUUACAUAUUUUGGUACAUAUAGUGUUUUUGUUUUUAAUAAAAUCAGCGACGUUAAUGAAGAA